CAAAGGAAUUGACGGGGCCGCACAAGCGGUGGAGCAUGUGGUUAAUUCGAAGCAACGCGAAGAACCUUACCAGGUCUUGACAUCCCGAUGCUAUUUCUAGAGAUAGAAAGUUACUUCGGUACAUCGGUGACAGGUGGUGCAUGGUUGUCGUCAGCUCGUGUCGUGAGAUGUUGGGUUAAGUCCCGCAACGAGCGCAACCCCUAUGUUUAGUUGAUACGCAAGAUCACUCUAGACAGACUGCCGUUGACAAAACGGAGGAAGGUGGGACGACGUCAAAUCAUCAUGCCCCUUGUGUCCUGGGCUACACACGUACUACAAUGGCGGUCAUACAGAGGGAAGCAAUAUAGUGAUAUGGAGCAAACCCCUAAAAGCCGCCUCAGUUCAGAUCGCAGGCUGCAACCCGCCUGCGUGAAGUCGGAAUUGCUAGUAAUCGCGGAUCAGCAUGCCGCGGUCGAAUACGUUCCCGGGCCUU
RNAcentral lists this ribosomal RNA (472 nucleotides) under uncultured Streptococcus sp. Its description in RNAcentral is "bacterial SSU rRNA". It matches the Rfam family "Bacterial small subunit ribosomal RNA", at positions 902 to 1382 of the family's 1533-position model. The record is from RNAcentral. Lineage: Bacteria; Bacillati; Bacillota; Bacilli; Lactobacillales; Streptococcaceae.